GUGAUAAUCGUACAAUGGUUAGUACACAAGUUUGUGACACUUGGAAUAUGAGUUCAAUUCUCAUUUAUCACCCCA
This 75-nucleotide transfer RNA is filed under the name Caudoviricetes sp. Its description in RNAcentral is "tRNA-His". It matches the Rfam family "tRNA". Rfam says of the family: Transfer RNA (tRNA) molecules are approximately 80 nucleotides in length. Their secondary structure includes four short double-helical elements and three loops (D, anti-codon, and T loops). The record is from RNAcentral. Lineage: Duplodnaviria; Heunggongvirae; Uroviricota; Caudoviricetes.